UGAGACCAAUCCCUGAACCGGAGCAAUCGGUCGACGUGAAGUGAUGACGGUUGCGGAUCGUAAAGCUCUGUUGUAGUCAAGAACGGGUGGUGGAGAGUGGAAAGUUCACACUGUGACGGUAGCUUACCCAGAAAGGGACGGCUAACUACGUGCCAGCAGCCCGCGGGUAAUACGUAGGUCCCGAGCGUUGUCCCGGAUUUAUUGGGCGUAAAGCGAGCGCAGGCGGUUUGAUAAGUCUGAAGUUAAAGGCUGUGGCUCAACCAUAGUUCGCUUUGGAAACUGUCAAACUUGAGUGCAGAAGGGGAGAGUGGAAUUCCAUGUGUAGCGGUGAAAUGCGUAGAUAUAUGGAGGAACACCGGUGGCGAAAGCGGCUCUCUGGUCUGUAACUGACGCUGAGGCUCGAAAGCGUGGGGAGCGAACAGGAUUAGAUACCCUGGUAGUCCACGCCGUAAACGAUGAGUGCUAGGUGUUGGAUCCUUUCCGGGAUUCAGUGCCGCAGCUAACGCAUUAAGCACUCCGCCUGGGGAGUACGACCGCAAGGUUGAAACUCAAAGGAAUUGACGGGGGCCCGCACAAGCGGUGGAGCAUGUGGUUUAAUUCGAAGCAACGCGAAGAACCUUACCAGGUCUUGACAUCCCGAUGCUAUUUCUAGAGAUAGAAAGUUACUUCGGUACAUCGGUGACAGGUGGUGCAUGGUUGUCGUCAGCUCGUGUCGUGAGAUGUUGGGUUAAGUCCCGCAACGAGCGCAACCCCUAUUGUUAGUUGCCAUCAUUCAGUUGGGCACUCUAGCGAGACUGCCGGUAAUAAACCGGAGGAAGGUGGGGAUGACGUCAAAUCAUCAUGCCCCUUAUGACCUGGGCUACACACGUGCUACAAUGGUUGGUACAACGAGUUGCGAGUCGGUGACGGCGAGCUAAUCUCUUAAAGCCAAUCUCAGUUCGGAUUGUAGGCUGCAACUCGCCUACAUGAAGUCGGAAUCGCUAGUAAUCGCGGAUCAGCACGCCGCGGUGAAUACGUUCCCGGGCCUUGUACACACCGCCCGUCACACCACGAGAGUUUGUAACACCCGAAGUGCGGUGAGGUAACCUUUUGGAGCCAGCCGCCUAAGGUGGGACAGAUGAUUGGGGUGAAGUCGUAACAUGAUGGCU
Molecule: ribosomal RNA, 1148 nt
Filed under: Streptococcus thermophilus
Lineage: Bacteria; Bacillati; Bacillota; Bacilli; Lactobacillales; Streptococcaceae
Description: bacterial SSU rRNA
Rfam family: Bacterial small subunit ribosomal RNA
Source: RNAcentral